ACGUACGCUGGCGGUAGGCUUAACACAUGCAAGUCGUGCGAGAAAGUAUCUUCGGAUAUGAGUAGAGCGGCGGACGGGUGAGUAACGCGUAGGAAUCUACCUAGUAGAAGGGGAUAGCCCGGGGAAACCCGGAUUAAUACCGUAUACCUCCUUCGGGAGAAAGAAGGCCUCUCUUUGAAGCUUUCGCUACUAGAUGAGCCUGCGUAAGAUUAGCUUGUUGGUGAGGUAAAGGCUCACCAAGGCGACGAUCUUUAGCUGGUCUGAGAGGACGAUCAGCCACAUUGGGACUGAGACACGGCCCAGACUCCUACGGGAGGCAGCAGUGGGGAAUCUUAG
RNAcentral lists this ribosomal RNA (336 nucleotides) under uncultured Oceanospirillales bacterium. Its description in RNAcentral is "SSU rRNA". It matches the Rfam family "Bacterial small subunit ribosomal RNA", at positions 29 to 367 of the family's 1533-position model. The record is from RNAcentral. Lineage: Bacteria; Pseudomonadati; Pseudomonadota; Gammaproteobacteria; Oceanospirillales.